This 62-nucleotide microRNA precursor is filed under the name Strongyloides ratti. RNAcentral describes it as "microRNA str-mir-7880i precursor". The record is from miRBase by way of RNAcentral. Lineage: Eukaryota; Metazoa; Nematoda; Chromadorea; Rhabditida; Strongyloididae.
GGUCUAGUGAUGGUAGCAAAUUAGUAUAUUGAAAACUAAAUUUGCGACCAAUCCAGGACCCG